Long non-coding RNA from Homo sapiens (human), 966 nucleotides. RefSeq lists it as uncharacterized. NCBI's taxonomy places the organism in Eukaryota, Metazoa, Chordata, Mammalia, Primates, Hominidae. The record is from RefSeq and is a predicted model, not a curated record. The transcript has 3 exons.
UAUACUUACAGAUACCUAAUAACAGGAGCACCCUAGGUAGGGCAACAUGGAGAAGGGUGAGUCAAGAGAAAGAAGGAGUGAGGGGGGAUCGUGGACAAGAACCUUUAUUGAGAAGGGAAAGGCAGAGUAAGCAGGUUUAGGAUUGGCUAGUUUGAAUAAUUCCAGCAGGAUCUGGGGCAUAGGGGCUGUCUCUAGUCAUCUGGUAUCCUGUCAUGGCCUAGGGUGAUUAGGACAGUGGGAUAGUGGGUCUGCAUAUAAGAGCCAGAUAAAGGAGGUGGUAGAAGUGUGGGCUUUGGAUUGGCUGGUUUGCGUAUGAAAGAUAGGCUCCCAGGCAAGUUGCUAUCUCUAGGAAUUUCAUAACCCUGGGAGGGGCAGUUCCUUUCAACGUCAGCUAGACUCCAAGAUGUUGAAGAAUCAGAAUAAAAAGACAUACUUAAUACACUUCUUACAUCAUUUUUAUUGUUGGGUCUACUUUUGCUGAAGCUGCCUGCGACUGUCCUUGGUCUUUUCCCCCGUGACCUCCCUGGUUCCUGAGAUCUGAGCAGUAUAAGCUUCUCCAGAUGCUUGAGGGACAGGGUUGCACCAUCUUGGCCUUGUGAUCUACCUGCCUCCACCUCCGAAAGUGCUGGGAUUACAGGUACCAAAAAGGAUGAACAAAGACAUUCUGACAUUACAACAGGCUGGAUUUGCUACGAGGUAUACAAAUGAAGAAGGCUUGGAGAAAGAAUUAGCGGGGAUUCGCAUCUAGAUAAAGCAAGUUAUCACUGUCUGCAUAACCUUGAAUGAAUCACAGACCUUUCUCUAGCUCAUUCAUUAAAGCUUUGUUUAAUUCAACAAAUAUUUAUCACAUGACAGGCGCCUGCCCUAAGCACUGGGGCUUCAUUCAUUUAUUCAUUCAACAAAUAUUUAUUAAAUCUCUACUAUGUGCCAAGCACUGAUCACGGGGUUGGGAUACAGCCAUGAAUA